GCGGGGGAAGGGGCAGCCAGCGCCUCGGGCCCAUUCGCGAUCCUCGGGCGACCUCUGGCGGCCGGCGCGCGCAUGGCCUCAGGAGAAUCCCCACCGAGGCCGAGCUCGCCCCAGGCGGCCAUUUCACUUUGUGGACAGUCGCAUUUUCCCGGCGGGCACUGCGACCGAGUUCGGGGCUUCAAGAAAUGGCGGCGUGCGCAGGCGUACUCACUACGGGCGGGUGCUAGCCGAGGUGCACAGGCGCGCACGCGUCGCGUACGCUGGUGGCUAGUGCGCAUUCGCACAGGCGCAGUCCCUGCUACCCAGACUCCCGGAGCAUGAGAGAACCUGCCUCCCCCGGGCAGCUUACCUUCCUCUCUCAGAGCCGAUGUCUACUGCAGCCAAGCCUUCAGGCCAGGAGCCCGUGGCUCCGGAUCCCACGUUGCCAUCACUCAACUGUUCACUUGACCUGUUACGAGAAAUAUUCAUUAAAGACCUGCACUACCCUAGGCACUGGGGGAACAGCGGGAACAGGACCAUCCUGGCCCCAGCUGCAUCCAUUGACAUUGCACCAGAGGCCAUGGAAGUCCUUCAGCUGGGUGUAUGUGGGCUCCAUGUUCUGGGAAUGAAGUGUCUGCUUC
Cercocebus atys (sooty mangabey) is the source of this 620-nucleotide long non-coding RNA. RefSeq lists it as uncharacterized. Lineage: Eukaryota; Metazoa; Chordata; Mammalia; Primates; Cercopithecidae. The transcript has 3 exons. The record is from RefSeq and is a predicted model, not a curated record.